CUCUCCCUUUCCAAUAAAACGGAUUCUGGGCUGCAUCCUUGCUUGUCUCGUGUUUGUCAUUGAAAUCUCUGGAGGUGGGUCGGGUUCACUUCCUUGAGCCCUAAUUGCGGGGGAGGCCAGUUUCUGUCUCGCACAGAUAGGUCCCACCAUGUGGCACAUUCCCCAAAGUAUAGGAAAAGGAUUCAAACAAUGCCACAAAGGCACAAAUGAGACCAACCGCAGAAGCCGAGCGGAUCCCAGUCGUGUCGUCUUAAAAGCCUCAGAAAUGAGGAAACAGAAAAUAAGUCCUGACACAGCGUUGCAGUCAUUCUGUGUUGUCUUCCCUCAUGGCAUUUCGAACACCCGCCGUCUUAAAAAGAAACGAAGAAGCAAGAAAAAAAAAAAUCUGAUUUCUUAAAGUUCAUUUUGAAACAUGAGAAUAACUAGAACUGGGGGACUGGCCAACCACUAAAACCAUCGCCGGCAACGAUCAAUUCAGUUAGGAUUCACAUGUGCCAUGGAAGUGGCUGACAUUUUUCCGAAAUUGGUUGCCAUGCUGAUGACAAAGAUCGAAAACGGAAAAUCGUGCGGGGCUAACGAGCCCUAGGUGCCUUUUGCUGACCCAUCUGGAACUGGAAUCCAUUACGUCCACAUGCCUUCCACUUGGCAUUGUCACAGCCAUGGUGUCCUUUGGUUGUCACAGGACCACUGCAGGACGUCAAGGUGAGGUCAUGGAAAUGAAGGUCGUGCUCUCACUUCAGCUUCGAUCCUGGGGCCUUUGUAAAGGGAUUCCCUGCCUUUACCCUGAGCAGUUCUGCUUCACCAGGUCUGGAAUGGAGUCCAGGAGUCUGUAUUUUCAACCACCUCCCAGGUGAUUAGGAUUCAGGUGGUGCAAAGACCACACUCCCAGAAACACCAGGCUGGGCAAAGUUAUGGAACUUUUUAAGAGGGAUAUAGGCAGGGGCACCUGGGUGGCUCAGUUGGUUAAGCGUCUGACUGGGUUUCAGCUCAGGUCAUGAUCUCAUGGUUUGUGAGCUUGAGCCCCAAGUCGGGCACUGCGCUGACAUCAUAGAGCCUGCGUGACAUUCUCUCUCUCUGCCCCUCCCCUGCACACACACACACACACACACACACACGCACUCUCUCUCUCUCUCUCUCAAUAAAUAAAUAAAUAAAUAAACUUAAAUUUUUUUUUAAAAGGAUUAUGAGCAGAUCCAGUUUGUUCCUGGUUCAGGCUGUGUUGUGUCUUCAGCAUGUCUAACUGAAGAGGUUGGAUUGUUUGUCUCACCCCUACCCAUCCUGGAAGAUGGUCAGUUCAACCAUAAAGAGUCCAGAAUGCAGGUGUGAGCCCAUUCCCAGAAAACACAAUUUGGGGGACGAAGGCCAAGGAGUUGGCAGGAGUCGUUGAGCUGAUGUUCUGCUUCUGGGAAUUGAUCAACUUGAGCAAGUUUUCAUUUGCCUUCUGAUUUCACGGACUUGUAUAUUAAUAAAACAAAAACAACAUUUACUUUCAAGUGGGGAAGCACAAGAAUAUUCUGAGGAAAAAAAUCAAGCGUGCUAGCAAAAUUAUUUAAUAACACUUUGCCAAUAAAGAUGAAAAGCCUUCUCAAAUUUAUUUCAUUCAAAAGGCUUUCCAAGCUUUUGGACCAGGGAGGAUAUAAUUUGGUGAGCUUGGAGAAAUUUGAGGCAUUGGCAUGGAACCCAGCGGGAAAGUAGGUGUUUGCUUUGUGGAGGGGGGGGUGUGGGAUUAGAGAUGGGGUCUCAGUUUGACAAGGAUGAUUCCAUUGCCUGGAAUGACCCAGCAGGGCACUCAUAUGAGCAAGAAUUUGUUUUCAAGGGGCUCUCUGGUCCUAGGACACCUGCCUUUAUGACAUUUGCUUUCCUUGGGAGCCAAACUAUGCAAAUGGUGCUGUCCUGCUCAGAAGUUGGUCCACAUGGUCCAGGGCACAUGACUCCACGGAAAGUAUGGGCUUAGAACAUGCAGAUCUAUGCUUAAGUUCCAUUCUGGCUACUUACCAGGUUUUUGCCCCCUUGAGCAAGGCAAAAUCUUCUAUGAGCUUUUGUUUGGGAUCUCAAGUAAAAUGCUGUAGGUAUAUAUACUUUAUAAAUACAUAUGUAUGACAUCAUUAAAUAAUAAGUAAUAAUAAUCAUGAUACUUAUAAUAAUUAUCAUUGUGACGAUGUCUAGGACUGUAUCAAUUUAUUCUUUCCUUCUCUCUCAACUGGGGGCUGGAGCUAAAUAUUUUUCUUUUAAAUAGCCAUAAAGAAAAGGUAAAUCAUUAUUUCUUGAGGGUGUAUUUGUUUGAAAAUGAUCAAGUAUUUUGAUCUAUGUGUGGCAUAUAAAAUUGCUGAUCAAAUUAGGAAAACCAAUUUUUAAAAAUUAUAAAUCAGAUAUAAUUACGAAGUAAUGACUGAUUUUUUUUAUGGGAGUUAGAAACUAUCUUUUCAGGCAAUUCCAAAAAUGACAUUCAAGAUGUGUUUUGGGCAAUUAUUGAACAGGGAUAGUAUUAAAGCCAUUAACGUGUUUUUCUUUUUGUACUUCUUUGUAGAGUGGGCCUCAUCAUUUCCAACCAGAGGUUUAAUUGCCUCAGGAGAUAUUAGAAUUACCAUACCAACAAUGGAGACAAAAGAGAGGCAAGGUUUUGAUUUCCAAAAUUGGAAAUUAGAGUCAAUUGUGAGACUCUAUUAGGAAAUAGAAGAAAUUUCUACGGUCUGAAUUUUUCAGAUCAUCUCCAAAUACACCAAAAGCAAACUUGGAGGUCUUAACAUUAUUUUGCUCUGUAGCAAAGAUACAGGAUAUGACAUGAAGGAAGUUGGAGUCAGAGAAGAAGGGGCGGUAGGAAGCCCCCUCUCUCGGCUGGAGGAAGGCCAAGAAAGGCAGAGUUAGGACCAAGAGCUGAGCCGUGUGUGUUUUCUCCCUUUGUGUCUGUCAACAUUCCAGAAGUGAGAUGGGAGAGGAAGAAGCAAGGAGCCUGAAGACAUAUAGGUACAAGGCCUUACUUCUCAGGAAAUCAACGGUAUCACAGUGAACUCCAAGUUCAACAUGGCACAAGAUGGCACCAGACACCUCUAGAUUAGAUGUAGGGAGCUAUUCGGGCACUGGUGUGAGCUAGUCCCUGGUUACCUACGUCCUGACUGUUUUAUGCAGCCAUGUGAAGGUGUCUUGCAUUCCAGUGAAAAGGCAGGAGCUUGGAGUCUGGACAAGUAGACAUUACUGAGAAGGGUCUUCGUGACCGGAGGCAAAUGCAAUGAACUGUGCAACGCGUCAGUGGGGAACAGCAAUGUAUUCCCAAGAGACUGCGAACCAUGCAUUGGUGGAGACCAGCAAAAAGCCCAAACUGGACUGGAGCAGGGGUCCACUUCAGAGACGAGUGGUCCUCAGAGAAAAGCACCAGGACCAGAGUCCUUACUCUGCUGCUACGAUGUCAUGUGUAUUUCCUUUUGUGAACAGACCCCACCAGCUAAACUUGCGAACAUUCUGGUUUUGCGGGUUUAGACCCUACACACUACACAAUUAUCACGGGCGUGUCUGUACCUUUCCUCAAAGUGAAUACUUUGAAUAUGACUGCAUUCAUUUAGAUUUAUGUUUGUUAGUGACCGUGACUCUGUUUUAGUCCUACCUGCUGUGUGCAUGCAUGCUGUACUCACCUGAUUCUCUUUCAGUGUCAUCUGCCCCUGUUCCUUACACCCAAGGAAGGUCCUAACACAUCUAAAAAUCUUCUCAUUUUGUUGUACUCUCUGAACAAAGUUGGCCGGAAAGAAGCCAAUCCUGUCUUGAAUUUUUCCCUGAAAGGAAAAAGGAGGCAUGCAUCCGCAAUUGUAACAUCUGUCGUAAUGAUGGUUACCAGAUAGUUACCAAAUAAAUAAAUUUCUCUUUCUUUUAAAGAAAGAGAAAUACUUACUUUCCACCAAUCUUCAUUGGUGUCUUCUAGAAGAGUAAUCAUGUCUCCUGGCCUAUAAUGAAGACAGAAUGAGUUGAGGGAGGAAGGAGAGGGGGGACCAAAAGAAAAAAAAAGAUGAUUACUUUAGAGUCAGAAGCAAUAGUUUUGUGUUUAUACAAAUAAUCCUAAAAUAAACAGAAGUGAAAUAAUUAUGACAUUUGACCAGUUCUUUCCACCCAUAAAAAUAGUUUUGUUAUAUAUUCAAAGUAAGUGUUAUUUCUGCGCUGUAUUUAAAAUUUUUUUAAUGUUUUAUUUAUUUUUUGAGAGACAGAGAGAGAUAGAGCCUGAGUGGAGGAGGGGCAGAGAGAGAGGGAGACACAGAAUCUGAAGCAGGCUCCAGGCUCCAGGCUGUCAGCACAAGGCCCGAUGCGGGGCUCGAACCCACAAACUGCACUGCACGAUCAUGACCUGAGCUGAAGUCGGGUGCUUACCCGACUGAGCCACCCAGGUGCCCUCUCUGUGCCGUAUUAAAAAAAUAUAUAGUAGCUCUAUUUUUACAGACAGAUAAGGGUUCUUUAUUAUUCUUUUAGAAAAAUUUCCUAUUCAUAUUUGCCACUUUCUGUUAUGGAUGUGACAUUAUAAUGAUCUUUCUGAGGCUAUUACUAUGUUUUUAAAAUGAUGUUUCUUUCCUUUAUUAAAUUCUUUGUUUCCUCUAGAAUUGGUUGGCCUCGUCUUUAUUUUACGGCUCCUCCUUCGUGUCGAGAUUUUCUCCAACAUCGUGUCCCUUGGCUGUUCCUUUACGUUAACGGCUGACGACAGAGGCAGACGGGUGUGGACCGCUGGGUGAGCUUCUCUACUACUACUGCCUCUGUGUCUGCACUGGGUCUCUCUCCCAAGUACAAGAGCUAAUUCCAGGCUCUGUUUAAGCAAGCAGAGUGCAUCCACUGGGGUGUCUCAUUUUUGGACGCUCGAAAAUGCAGGAGGCAAGCGGUCUGGGGCCUCCGACCGCUAACCCCAUGGCUAAAAUAGGAGGACUCUCUUAACCCUGUUGAGGGAGACGUCAGUUUAUUCGCCCGUUAAGUACAGCCGCCUUUUCCUUCCCUCCUCCUGCUCUCUAGAAAGUCUGGAGUCUAGAGUUCAUCUAAACACAGCUCCCUUUCUCCUUUCUGUGAGACUUCUGUGCUCACACAGGAGCCCUCCCUAGGCCUGGGUUCUCUUUCUUUUGAGUACAGGUACUCCUCGAUUUUGGCAUCAAAUGCUAGUCGUUAUAAGCAGUGACGGGGUGUCGUGCACACGGCUGGGGGUCCGUAUCAGUUACAUAUUGCCGUGACAACGCUGUGUAACAUACUGCCACAAAACCUCAGUGGCUCCCUCGCGUGCCCGGGUGGCGGCAGGCUGUUGGCUAGGUUGACCGGGGGAGACGUCGCCCUAUUUCCGGUUUGUCACACCCCACGAGGCCAAUCUGGACUUUCGUGACAGUGCCAGAAUAUCAAGAGCGGCAAAUGGAAACAUGCAGAGAAACACAUUAAGGGCCUCUCAAGCCGGGCUUGGAACUGACAAAUGGUUACUCCUGCCUCAUUUUAUUGGGGAAAGUACGUCAUAAGGCCAGUCCAGAUUCAAGGGAUGGCAGACAGAUGCACCUUCUGUGGUGACGGAAACCGUGAAGCGUCACGGCCAAGGGCACGAGUACAGGAAUUGGGGUCAUGAAUGCGAUCAAGUCACUGGACACAGACAGCCUCGUGUUCUUCGGUGAAUCUGCUGUGAGUUCAGCGUCUCCUUGGAAGUGUCCCUACAUCUAAAGUCAUUCUUUCCUGAGCACUGUGGUCUCCAGGCAUCUUCUCUCUUCUCACUUCUAUGUGCUGCAUUUUGCCAGGAAAGUCUCCAAAUCUGGGGGUCUCUGAUAGUAUUAUUUCUUGUUUUCUAGUACCAUUAUGGAUGUAUUCUCAAUAUAUAUAUGCACAUGUAUAUGUAUAUAU
Molecule: long non-coding RNA, 5835 nt
Organism: Acinonyx jubatus (cheetah)
Lineage: Eukaryota; Metazoa; Chordata; Mammalia; Carnivora; Felidae
Exons: 3
Source: RefSeq, a predicted model, not a curated record